GACGAACGCUGGCGGCGUGCCUAAUACAUGCAAGUUGAGCGCUGAAGGUUGGUACUUGUACCAACUGGAUGAGCAGCGAACGGGUGAGUAACGCGUGGGGAAUCUGCCUUUGAGCGGGGGACAACAUUUGGAGACGAAUGCUAAUACCGCAUAAAAACUUUAAACACAAGUUUUAAGUUUGAAAGAUGCAAUUGCAUCACUCAAAGAUGAUCCCGCGUUGUAUUAGCUAGUUGGUGAGGUAAAGGCUCACCAAGGCGAUGAUACAUAGCCGACCUGAGAGGGUGAUCGGCCACAUUGGGACUGAGACACGGCCCAAACGCCUACGGGAGGCAGCAGUAGGGGAUCUUCGGCAAUAGACGAAAGUCUGACCGAGCAACGCCGCGUGAGUGAAGAAGGUUUUCGGAUCGUAAAACUCUGUUGGUAGAGAAGAACGUUGGUGAGAGUGGAAAGCUCAUCAAGUGACGGUAACUACCCAGAAAGGGACGGCUAACUACGUG
RNAcentral lists this ribosomal RNA (497 nucleotides) under uncultured bacterium. Its description in RNAcentral is "partial 16S ribosomal RNA". It matches the Rfam family "Bacterial small subunit ribosomal RNA", at positions 28 to 507 of the family's 1533-position model. The record is from RNAcentral.